RNAcentral lists this ribosomal RNA (642 nucleotides) under uncultured bacterium. RNAcentral's name for it is "bacterial SSU rRNA". It matches the Rfam family "Bacterial small subunit ribosomal RNA", at positions 162 to 822 of the family's 1533-position model. The record is from RNAcentral.
GCUAAUACCGCAUAAGCGCACAGCUUCGCAUGAAGCAGUGUGAAAAACUCCGGUGGUAUACGAUGGAUCCGCGUCUGAUUAGCUGGUUGGCGGGGUAAAGGCCCACCAAGGCGACGAUCAGUAGCCGGCCUGAGAGGGUGAACGGCCACAUUGGGACUGAGACACGGCCCAAACUCCUACGGGAGGCAGCAGUGGGGAAUAUUGCACAAUGGGGGAAACCCUGAUGCAGCGACGCCGCGUGAGUGAAGAAGUAUUUCGGUACGUAAAGCUCUAUCAGCAGGGAAGAAAAUGACGGUACCUGACUAAGAAGCCCCGGCUAACUACGUGCCAGCAGCCGCGGUAAUACGUAGGGGGCAAGCGUUAUCCGGAUUUACUGGGUGUAAAGGGAGCGUAGACGGCAGCGCAAGUCUGGAGUGAAAUCCCAUGGCUUAACCAUGGAACUGCUUUGGAAACUGUGCAGCUAGAGUGCAGGAGAGGUAAGCGGAAUUCCUAGUGUAGCGGUGAAAUGCGUAGAUAUUAGGAGGAACACCAGUGGCGAAGGCGGCUUACUGGACUGUAACUGACGUUGAGGCUCGAAAGCGUGGGGAGCAAACAGGAUUAGAUACCCUGGUAGUCCACGCUGUAAACGAUGAUUACUAGGUG